GGACUCGGGUCCGAUUAGUUAGUUGGUGAGGUAACGGCUGACCAAGACCGCGAUCGGUAGCCGGAGUGAGAGGUUGAACGGCCACAUUGGGACUGAGACACGGCCCAGACUCCUACGGGAGGCAGCAGUGGGGGAUAUUGCGCAAUGGGGGAAACCCUGACGCAGCAACGCCGCGUGAAGGAUGAAGGUCUUCGGAUUGUAAACUUCUUUUAUUAAGGACGAAGAAAGUGACGGUACUUAAUGAAUAAGCUCCGGCUAACUACGUGCCAGCAGCCGCGGUAAUACGUAGGGAGCAAGCGUUGUCCGGAUUUACUGGGUGUAAAGGGUGCGUAGGCGGCUUUGCAAGUCAGAUGUGAAAUCUAUGGGCUCAACCCAUAGCCUGCAUUUGAAACUGCAGAGCUUGAGUGAAGUAGAGGCAGGCGGAAUUCCCCGUGUAGCGGUGAAAUGCGUAGAGAUGGGGAGGAACACCAGUGGCGAAGGCGGCCUGCUGGGCUUUAACUGACGCUGAGGCACGAAAGCGUGGGUAGCAAACAGGAUUAGAUACCCUGGUAGUCCACGCUGUAAACGAUGAUUACUAGGUGUGGGGGGUCUGACCCCUUCCGUGCCGGAGUUAACACAAUAAGUAAUCCACCUGGGGA
Molecule: ribosomal RNA, 638 nt
Filed under: uncultured bacterium
Lineage: Bacteria
Description: bacterial SSU rRNA
Rfam family: Bacterial small subunit ribosomal RNA
Source: RNAcentral